This 710-nucleotide long non-coding RNA is filed under the name Homo sapiens (human). Its description in RNAcentral is "HSALNT0325023". Lineage: Eukaryota; Metazoa; Chordata; Mammalia; Primates; Hominidae. The record is from RNAcentral.
AGGUCAUCUCCCUUUCUGUAGAGCAUAUGAUCUUUACUGAUGCACCUGCAUCUGGCUCAGACUUAGUCACCCAGCCCUGAAAUUAUAUCAUAUCACAGGUCAUUCUCUGAGUCUCUUAAUGUGAGGCCUUGAGAGAAAAAUCAACAUGCCUUCUGUUGGAUGAAGACCAAUCAGCAAGAUGGUGGUGAUUGUGGUACAGUCCCCUUUUUAUAGAGUCGUUGCAAGGAUCAAGUGAGUUGAAAUCCGUAAGGUGCUUGGGAGAAUGCCUGGCGCCUGGAAGCACUGUAUAUUCCAAAAAAGGAGAUAUAAACAUGACCAUAAAAGACAUGAAAAGAUGUUUAACCCCAUUAGUCAUCGUGGAAAUGCAAAUGAAAACCACCAUACAGACACUAGAGUGGUUUAAAUUUGAAUGACUUCCAACACCAAAUGCCAGACAGGACAUAGAGCAACUGGAUGUCUCAUGCUCACAGGCAGAAGGGAAAACUACUGUGUGUGACAGGAAGAUGGACUUACCCAACCUUCAGCAUUCUCAAUCUCUUGUCUAUUAACAUGUGUUUGAAACAUUAUGCAUUCAAAGCAAACAUCUGGGAGGAAGAUGGGAGAAGCCUUCUUGCCCCUGUUCUACAGAAGUAAUUGAAGUUCAUGACAUUCAAGCUCAUUCACCAGUAAAUGAAUUUGGGUCAUGCUUUAUGUCUGUUGUAAAUACAGUG